This 65-nucleotide transfer RNA is filed under the name Dipodomys ordii (Ord's kangaroo rat). It matches the Rfam family "tRNA". From Rfam's summary of the family: Transfer RNA (tRNA) molecules are approximately 80 nucleotides in length. Their secondary structure includes four short double-helical elements and three loops (D, anti-codon, and T loops). Lineage: Eukaryota; Metazoa; Chordata; Mammalia; Rodentia; Heteromyidae. The record is from Rfam by way of RNAcentral.
GGUGGUUCGGUGGUAGAGCACUUGCCUUGCAUGCAGGAGGCCCUGGGUUCGAUUCCUUAGCACCA